Molecule: ribosomal RNA, 406 nt
Filed under: uncultured bacterium
Lineage: Bacteria
Description: partial 16S ribosomal RNA
Rfam family: Bacterial small subunit ribosomal RNA
Source: RNAcentral
AUUGAACGCUGGCGGCAGGCCUAACACAUGCAAGUCGAGCGGGAGGCGGACGGGAGAGUAAUGUAUGGGGAUGUGCCUGGUGGAGGGGGAUAACUAAUGGGCACGGUGGCUAAUACCGCAUACUAUCGGAUGAGCCGAUAUGGGAUUAGGUAGUGGGUGGGGUAAAGGCUUACCAAGGCGACGAUCUCUAGCUGGUCUGAGAGGAUGAUCAGCCACACUGGAACUGAGACACGGUCCAGACUCCUACGGGAGGCAGCAGUGGGGAAUAUUGCACAAUGGGCGCAAGCCUGAUGCAGCCAUGCCGCGUGUAUGAAGAAGGCCUUAGGAUUGUAAAGUACUUUCAGCGGGGAGGCGUUACCCGCAGAAGAAGCACCGGCUAACUCCGUGCCAGCCGCCGCGGUAAUAC